RNAcentral lists this ribosomal RNA (253 nucleotides) under Vibrio sp. ZF57. Its description in RNAcentral is "partial 23S ribosomal RNA". It matches the Rfam family "Bacterial large subunit ribosomal RNA", at positions 1261 to 1518 of the family's 2925-position model. The record is from RNAcentral. Lineage: Bacteria; Pseudomonadati; Pseudomonadota; Gammaproteobacteria; Vibrionales; Vibrionaceae.
CUGUAAGGGCUGCUGGAGGUAUCAGAAGUGCGAAUGCUGACAUGAGUAACGAUAAAGGGAGUGAAAAACUCCCUCGCCGGAAGACCAAGGGUUCCUGUCCAACGUUAAUCGGGGCAGGGUAAGUCGACUCCUAAGGCGAGGCCGAAAGGCGUAGUCGAUGGGAAACGGGUUAAUAUUCCCGUACUUCUUACAAUUGCGAUGGGGGGACGGAGAAGGCUAGGUGGGCCUGGCGACGGUUGUCCAGGUUCAAGUA